Long non-coding RNA from Amblyraja radiata (thorny skate), 616 nucleotides. RefSeq lists it as uncharacterized. The record is from RefSeq and is a predicted model, not a curated record. Lineage: Eukaryota; Metazoa; Chordata; Chondrichthyes; Rajiformes; Rajidae. The transcript has 2 exons.
UUUCCCACUCUCCCUCCCUCACUUUCCACUCCCUCUCUCCCCCUCCCGUCUCCAAGUAUGAGUGGAAGAGGAGGGGUGGAGGGGAGCUGGUCCUGUGAACCUACCCCUGUGCAACACCACUGAGCUACACCUUGCCAGUGUGGGUCUAGGUGGGAGACUGUGCUGAAGGAGGGGACGUGGCGACUCUCUGAAGACCGGGUACUGUGUACACAAGGGCGCUGCAUUGAGUGACUAUCGACCCGUUUUUACAAGUCACGGCUGACCCUGCAAUAACGUGCCGAGGGGCCGAGUCUCUCCAAUGUUUCCACGGCUCCUGCACAGCGGAUAUAGAGACACUUCGCACCUUCGCAGCCAGGAUAUCUCAAGAGAAAAUCUGCAACAGUAUCCAGGUGCUGCAAGAACAGGCGUCUCCUGAGGACAUCAGCGGCGGUAAUUUAGAAAACCCGGCUACAAUUUCGCUGUAAUCUUUUAUUUUUGCUUCAAGUAGUGACACACACACACACACACUUCAGGAAUUGCUUUAGAAUUCAUCCCGCGCCUACUUCCUUGGAAGUUGUAACAUGUUUUAAACAAGUGAAACCUUUCCCCUUGCCUGACAAACACUGGAUUUGGGAUC